GGUUGAUCCUGCCAGUAGUCAUAUGCUUGUCUCAAAGAUUAAGCCAUGCAUGUCUAAGAAUAAGCCCUUGAACGGUGAAUCUGCGAAUGGCUCAUUAAAUCAGUUAUUGUUUAUUUGAUGGUACCUUACUACUUGGAUAACCGUAGUAAUUCUAGAGCUAAUACAUGCGUCAAGCCCUGACUUCGGAAAGGGUGCAUUUAUUAGAUUCAAACCAUCGGCUCGUCUGGGCAACUGGGCGCGGCCUUUGAUGGUGAGUCAUAAUAACUUAGCGAAUCGAAUGGCCUUGCGCCGU
This 292-nucleotide ribosomal RNA is filed under the name uncultured eukaryote. RNAcentral describes it as "partial 18S ribosomal RNA". It matches the Rfam family "Eukaryotic small subunit ribosomal RNA", at positions 6 to 287 of the family's 1831-position model. The record is from RNAcentral.